Molecule: ribosomal RNA, 447 nt
Filed under: uncultured bacterium
Lineage: Bacteria
Description: bacterial SSU rRNA
Rfam family: Bacterial small subunit ribosomal RNA
Source: RNAcentral
UGGGGAAUAUUGGACAAUGGGCGCAAGCCUGAUCCAGCCAUGCCGCGUGGAUGAAGAAGGCCCUAGGGUUGUAAAGUCCUUUCGACGGAGACGAUAAUGACGGUAUCCGUAGAAGAAGCCCCGGCUAAUUUCGUGCCAGCAGCCGCGGUAAUACGAAAGGGGCUAGCGUUGUUCGGAAUUACUGGGCGUAAAGCGCACGUAGGCGGUCGUGUAAGAUGGGGGUGAAAUCCCGGAGCUCAACUCCGGAACUGCCUUCAUGACUGCAUGGCUAGAGGAUGCGAGAGGUUGGCGGAAUUCCGAGUGUAGAGGUGAAAUUCGUAGAUAUUCGGAAGAACACCAGUGGCGAAGGCGGCCAACUGGCGCAUUUCUGACGCUGAGGUGCGAAAGCGUGGGGAGCAAACAGGAUUAGAUACCCAAGUAGUCCCUGAGCGGGCUGGCAAGGCGCAU